Molecule: long non-coding RNA, 778 nt
Filed under: Sparus aurata (gilthead seabream)
Lineage: Eukaryota; Metazoa; Chordata; Actinopteri; Spariformes; Sparidae
Description: lncRNA (ENSSAUG00010004021.1)
Source: RNAcentral
CGGACAGGGAUAGUCCGAUAGUGCAAGCCAGACAUUACACGACUCUGCAGGACAUGUACAAGAAACCAAAACCCAACCAAGAUGCUGUCCCCCAAAUCCUUGAUCUUGAGUUUCAAUCACGAAGAGCCAUUAUUGACAGUGCCCUAAAAGAAGAGGACAGGCCAACAGACUGUCAACAGAAGUCUAUUCAUGUUUCAAAGAUCUUCAUCAUGUAAUGGGUGAGCUGCAGAGGAUCUUGGCCAAUGGUAACCACAAAUUCAUUGAUGAAGUUAAGAAGAAAUGGGAAGACUUCUGCACCAAGGUGCAAUUUUACGGCGUUUGGAAGAAAGCUAUGAAGCCACCCAUGACUCUGGAUGCAACGGAAUCUGCCAUAGCGCUCUACAGGGCACUUCCCACACUCAUUCCAUCACCAGCUGCACCACCCAAAAAGCUGGGACAUGCCGGUGAGGCAUUGCUCCAUGUCCUUCAGCUAACAGAAGAUCCCGCCAUCUUCCUCCAGAAGAGAUCUCUCUCCAGCCCUGUUUUGCUCUUUGAUGGGUCCUGCUGUGUUGUUGCCAUUGGAACACCAUACACCACAUUUCCAAAGGAAAAUCUCAGUGAAGGUCUGCUUUAUCUGAUGGCUUACUACUACAUGAUGCAUCUUACUUACCCCAAGUGUGUGGCCACCCUUCUGUCUGUCAUUCAGACAGAAAUAUUACAGAACGCCAUCCAUGAGCGAGACGCUACAGCCUCAUAUAAAAGAGCCAUGGCAGAAUGGAUGGAUUUUAUUGGGAAGUAG